UACGAAGGGGACUAGCGUUGUUCGGAAUUACUGGGCGUAAAGCGCACGUAGGCGGAUUUGUAAGUCAGGGGUGAAAUCCCGGGGCUCAACCUCGGAACUGCCUUUGAUACUGCAAAUCUCGAGUCCGAUAGAGGUGGGUGGAAUUCCUAGUGUAGAGGUGAAAUUCGUAGAUAUUAGGAAGAACACCGGUGGCGAAGGCGGCCCACUGGAUCGGUACUGACGCUGAGGUGCGACAGCGUGGGGAGCAAACAGG
Molecule: ribosomal RNA, 253 nt
Filed under: uncultured bacterium
Lineage: Bacteria
Description: partial 16S ribosomal RNA
Rfam family: Bacterial small subunit ribosomal RNA
Source: RNAcentral